RNAcentral lists this long non-coding RNA (1266 nucleotides) under Vigna radiata. RNAcentral's name for it is "long non-coding RNA (VRAD_LNC007434)". Lineage: Eukaryota; Viridiplantae; Streptophyta; Magnoliopsida; Fabales; Fabaceae. The record is from RNAcentral.
AAAAAGGGAAAAGCAAGAAUAAGAGGAAGUGGAAAAGAAUGAAGAGGAAAAGAGAAAGUAGUAAGCAAAACCCAAGGAGAGUGUCUCCUAGUGCAGGUUCAAGGCAGGCCCCCUUUGGCGCCGGUGUCCCCGCGCGCCUUUUUCCUUGUUGCGUAUUUCUAUUUCUUCUGUGUCUUUGUUUCAAAUAUUGCAAACUCUAUACUUCUCAAACUUCUCUCUAGACAUAUCCCUUCGCUGACAUUCUGCACUCUGUUCCCAAUCUAUAUUUUAUAUAUGCGAAUCUCUCUCUCUUCCCACCAACGCACAAUUUGACCAUAUAUUAAUAACUUUGUUUACUAAUGCUUAUAAUACUUCAUUAAUUAAUGUAUAUUACCAAAAAGUACCAUGUUGCAGAUAUUGUAUGCCAGAGACAGGUUGGUCACUAAAGUUUCCACGGGAUGUGCCAUGCAAGAUGGUAAGCAUUUUGUGAUUCAAGAAGAUCGUGCAAAUAACUGAAAGAAAAGGGAAAAUAAAUGUGAGAUUACAAACGAUUCAAUUUGAUUUAUAAUUAUCUCCAUUUAAAUAGUCUUGGGUGGAUAUUUAGGAAACCAUGAUUUGUAUUCCUCCAGCCAGGGUACAUAUAAGCCAACUAUCUUAUUCUCUCUUGCGAAAAGCAUAAUCAAAUGCAAGCAUGAUCUAAAAGGGUCCUAGUUAAAAACAAUUAUUAAUGCUAGAAAGAAAGGGCACAACUAAAAGAGUUGUUUGGGAUGUGUUUCAUAUUGUGUGUGUGUGUGUGUGAAGAAUAUUUCAGGUGCAUGCGCAAAGACAGAAGAGCUUGAUUUUAUUGAGUGCAAACUAAGCAUGACAAACCCUAAAGUAAGUGUUGCUCCCCCUUGACAUCAUUCCACUCACCUUCUUCACCUUCCCAUCCCGAGGCAAAACCUACCAGUAUAUACAUUCUCUGCUUCUCCACCACAUCUCAUAUCUUCUCUAUCCUUCUCUCACUCUUUCUCUACAUAGAAUCCCACAUUUCAAUUCCUUUACAUUUCAUUUUGCUACUCAUACAUGUCAUUCAACACUCAUAAACCAUUCCUUUUUCUUUUUGUUUAUUUUGGAAGUCAUGCAUGAAUAUAUGCUACAUGUAUGACCUAUAUAGGUCCCUCUAAACCCUCUACCUGAUAUCGUUAUCUACGUAGAAAUGAUAGUGUUCUAUAGCUAUAUGUAAGAUAUCUCGACUUAUUACCAAAGCAAAAGUGACUUAAUAAAACACGCCUUUCCGUUUUGUCU